This 497-nucleotide ribosomal RNA is filed under the name uncultured bacterium. Its description in RNAcentral is "partial 16S ribosomal RNA". It matches the Rfam family "Bacterial small subunit ribosomal RNA", at positions 28 to 507 of the family's 1533-position model. The record is from RNAcentral.
GAUGAACGCUGGCGGCGUGCCUAAUACACGCAAGUCGAGCGAACAGACGAGGAGCUUGCUCCUCUGACGUUAGCGGCGGACGGGUGAGUAACACGUGGAUAACCUACCUAUAAGACUGGGAUAACUUCGGGAAACCGGAGCUAAUACCGGAUAAUAUAUUGAACCGCAUGGUUCAAUAGUGAAAGACGGUUUUGCUGUCACUUGUAGAUGGAUCCGCGCCGCAUUAGCUAGUUGGUAAGGUAACGGCUUACCAAGGCAACGAUGCGUAGCCGACCUGAGAGGGUGAUCGGCCACACUGGAACUGAGACACGGUCCAGACUCCUACGGGAGGCAGCAGUAGGGAAUCUUCCGCAAUGGGCGAAAGCCUGACGGAGCAACGCCGCGUGAGUGAUGAAGGUCUUCGGAUCGUAAAACUCUGUUAUUAGGGAAGAACAAAUGUGUAAGUAACUAUGCACGUCUUGACGGUACCUAAUCAGAAAGCCACGGCUAACUACGUG